This 868-nucleotide ribosomal RNA is filed under the name uncultured archaeon. RNAcentral describes it as "bacterial SSU rRNA". It matches the Rfam family "Archaeal small subunit ribosomal RNA", at positions 1 to 878 of the family's 1478-position model. The record is from RNAcentral.
UUCCGGUUGAUCCUGCCGGACCCGACUGCUAUCAGAGUGGGACUAAGCCAUGCGAGUCAACAUAGCAAUAUGUGGCAUACGGCUCAGUAACACGUAGUCAACAUGCCCAGGGGACGUGGAUAACCUCGGGAAACUGAGGAUAAACCGCGAUAGGUCAUCACUUCUGGAAUGGGUAAUGACUUAAAUCUAUAUGGCCCCUGGAUUGGACUGCGGCCGAUCAGGCUGUUGGUGAGGUAAUGGCCCACCAAACCUGUAACCGGUACGGGCUCUGAGAGGAGGAGCCCGGAGAUGGGCACUGAGACAAGGGCCCAGGCCCUAUGGGGCGCAGCAGGCGCGAAACCUCUGCAAUAGGCGAAAGCUUGACAGGGUUACUCUGAGUGAUUUCCGUUAAGGAGAUCUUUUGGCACCUCUAAAAAUGGUGCAGAAUAAGGGGUGGGCAAGUCUGGUGUCAGCCGCCGCGGUAAUACCAGCACCCCGAGUGGUCGGGACGUUUAUUGGGCCUAAAGCAUCCGUAGCCGGUUCUACAAGUCUUCCGUUAAAUCCACCUGCUUAACAGAUGGGCUGCGGAAGAUACUAUAGAGCUAGGAGGCGGGAGAGGCAAGCGGUACUCGAUGGGUAGGGGUAAAAUCCGUUGAUCCAUUGAAGACCACCAGUGGCGAAGGCGGCUUGCCAGAACGCGCUCGACGGUGAGGGAUGAAAGCUGGGGGAGCAAACUGGAUUAGAUACCCGGGUAGUCCCAGCUGUAAACGAUGCAGACUCGGUGAUGAGUUGGCUUAUUGCUAACUCAGUGCCGCAGGGAAGCCGUUAAGUUUGCCGCCUGGGGAGUACGGUCGCAAGACUGAAACUUAAAGGGAUUGGCGGGGGAGCA